AUACCUUUCUCAGCCUUUUGGCUAAGAUAAAGUCUAAUAUUUGCUCUUGUCAAUUUAAUAUUUGAUACGUCCACAAUAUGUUCACCUUGAUAUUAAAUUUAUUUUUAUGGGUAUCAAAUAUGAUUUUGUUUGGUCACAAUGCACGGCCAUUGUACUAGUA
RNAcentral lists this small nuclear RNA (160 nucleotides) under Zea mays. RNAcentral describes it as "U2 spliceosomal RNA". It matches the Rfam family "U2 spliceosomal RNA". From Rfam's summary of the family: U2 is a small nuclear RNA (snRNA) component of the spliceosome (involved in pre-mRNA splicing). Complementary binding between U2 snRNA (in an area lying towards the 5' end but 3' to hairpin I) and the branchpoint sequence (BPS) of the intron results the bulging out of an unpaired adenosine, on the BPS, which initiates a nucleophilic attack at the intronic 5' splice site, thus starting the first of two transesterification reactions that mediate splicing. The record is from Rfam by way of RNAcentral. Lineage: Eukaryota; Viridiplantae; Streptophyta; Magnoliopsida; Poales; Poaceae.